AGCGGUGUGGCGCAAUGGCAGCGCGCUGGGUUCAUACCCCAGAGGUCCCUGGUUCAAUUCCAGGCAUCGCAA
This is a transfer RNA of 72 nucleotides. It matches the Rfam family "tRNA". Rfam says of the family: Transfer RNA (tRNA) molecules are approximately 80 nucleotides in length. Their secondary structure includes four short double-helical elements and three loops (D, anti-codon, and T loops).